AUAGACGGAAAGACCUGUGAUGAUGACGUGAAUUGCCGAUGUAGUAACGGAACACUACUAAUCCUAAAAUCUACAUAUUAAUCUGACAGUGUCUACUGUUUGCCACUUCAGGACCCAGCCUCUAGCCACUAGAAGUAGCAAUGUAUGCAACAAGAGAGUGAAGAUGAAAUAGUCAAUGCAUCUCUGUACCACAAGUAAAAUAUUUUGAGUGGAAGAUGGUUGAGAUUGAUUCCUGUAUCGACGGACAGACACAUGCUAUGAAGAUUCUCUUAAAAAUAAUAAAAUACAAUUAAUAAAUUCAAUGUUUAACAUGA
This is a long non-coding RNA of Cydia splendana, 314 nucleotides long. RefSeq lists it as uncharacterized. The transcript is spliced from 2 exons. The record is from RefSeq and is a predicted model, not a curated record. Lineage: Eukaryota; Metazoa; Arthropoda; Insecta; Lepidoptera; Tortricidae.